ACAGAGACUGCAAGCGUUAUUCGGAUUCACUGGGCGUAAAGCGUGCGCAGGCGGUUUUGUAAGCCAGAUGUGAAAUCCCCGGGCUUAACCUGGGAACGGCAUUUGGGACUGCAAGGCUUGAGUUUGGCAGAGGAGACUGGAAUUCCUGGUGUAGCAGUGAAAUGCGUAGAUAUCAGGAGGAAUACCGAUGGCGAAGGCAGGUCUCUGGGCUGAAACUGACGCUCAUGCACGAAAGCGUGGGGAGCAAACAGGA
Molecule: ribosomal RNA, 253 nt
Filed under: uncultured prokaryote
Description: partial 16S ribosomal RNA
Rfam family: Bacterial small subunit ribosomal RNA
Source: RNAcentral